Molecule: ribosomal RNA, 476 nt
Filed under: uncultured organism
Description: partial 16S ribosomal RNA
Rfam family: Bacterial small subunit ribosomal RNA
Source: RNAcentral
GUACACUCCUACGGGAGGCAGCAGUGGGGAAUUUUGGACAAUGGGCGAAAGCCUGAUCCAGCAAUGCCGCGUGUGUGAAGAAGGCCUUCGGGUUGUAAAGCACUUUUGUCCGGAAAGAAAUCCUUGGCUCUAAUACAGUCGGGGGAUGACGGUACCGGAAGAAUAAGCACCGGCUAACUACGUGCCAGCAGCCGCGGUAAUACGUAGGGUGCGAGCGUUAAUCGGAAUUACUGGGCGUAAAGCGUGCGCAGGCGGUUUGCUAAGACCGAUGUGAAAUCCCCGGGCUCAACCUGGGAACUGCAUUGGUGACUGGCAGGCUAGAGUAUGGCAGAGGGGGGUAGAAUUCCACGUGUAGCAGUGAAAUGCGUAGAGAUGUGGAGGAAUACCGAUGGCGAAGGCAGCCCCCUGGGCCAAUACUGACGCUCAUGCACGAAAGCGUGGGGAGCAAACAGGAUUAGAUACCCUGGUAGUCCCAU